ACCUACGGGGGGCAGCAGUGGGGGAUAUUGCACAAUGGGGGAAACCCUGAUGCAGCGACGCCGCGUGAGCGAUGAAGUAUUUCGGUAUGUAAAGCUCUAUCAGCAGGGAAGAAAAUGACGGUACCUGACUAAGAAGCCCCGGCUAACUACGUGCCAGCAGCCGCGGUAAUACGUAGGGGGCAAGCGUUAUCCGGAUUUACUGGGUGUAAAGGGAGCGUAGACGGCAAUGCAAGCCAGGAGUGAAAGCCCGGGGCCCAACCCCGGGACUGCUCUUGGAACUGCGUGGCUGGAGUACAGGAGGGGCG
This 305-nucleotide ribosomal RNA is filed under the name uncultured bacterium. RNAcentral describes it as "bacterial SSU rRNA". It matches the Rfam family "Bacterial small subunit ribosomal RNA", at positions 337 to 659 of the family's 1533-position model. The record is from RNAcentral.